This 234-nucleotide unclassified non-coding RNA is filed under the name uncultured fungus. RNAcentral describes it as "sequence contains ITS1". The record is from RNAcentral. Lineage: Eukaryota; Fungi.
GUUUCUUUUGUACAUUACGCACAACAUGACAUUCCAUUACAUUCAAGAGUGUGUGAAAAUACUCGAGCGCCAGGCCUGUCAAGGCCAUGCAAAGCGGCACUCAGAGUCAUAGAUGCACAGGUGUGUGGAUUUGCGACUCGCCAAACGUGCACAUGUGUCUCCACCAGCACAGAACGGACGGAGCCGACUUUGAAAGAUUCACUAAUGAUCCUUCCGCAGGUUCACCUACGGAAA